GGGAAUCCGCUAAGGAGUGUGUAACAACUCACCUGCCCAAUCAACUGGCCCUGAAAAUGGAUGGCGCCAGUGCGACGGGCCCAUACCCGGCCGGCCAUAGCUGAAGGUCGGUUGGAGACAAAGGGGGACCGGAUCCACGGGCGCGCACGCGUCCCUGCCGGGCCCGGCACACACCCGCGCACGCUACGCGAUGACAAGUCCGAGUAGGAGGGCCACUGCGGUGAGCCUUGAUGCCUAGAGCGUGGGCCCGGAUGGAGCAGUCGCAGGUGCAGAGCUUGGAGGUAGUAGAAAAAACUCAAAGGAGAACUUGGAAGGCCGAAGUGGAGAAGGGUUCCAUGUGAACAGCAGUUGAACAUGGGUCAGUCGGUCCUGAGAGAUGGGCGAGCACCGUUCCGAAGGGACCGGCAAUGACAUCCCUUGCCCUCAGCAGAUCGAAAGGGAGUUGGCUUCAGAUCCCUGAAUCCCGAGUGUCGGAGACUGGCGCUGCGAGGCGUCCAGUGCUGUAAAGCAACCGAUCCCGGAGAAGCCGGCGGGAGCCCCAGGGGGAGUUCUCUUUUUCUUUGUGAAGCGCAAGGCGCCAAGGAAUGGGUUCGCCCCGAGAGAGGGGCUCCUACCAUGGAGAGCUUUGGGAUUCGGACGACGUCCGGUGAGCUCCCGCUCGCCCUUGAAAAUCCGGGUAAAGGGUGUCAAUCUCGAGCCGGGCCAUACCCAUAUCCUCCGGGGGUGGGCUGGGGUGGGCUGGG
RNAcentral lists this non-coding RNA (743 nucleotides) under Myotis brandtii (Brandt's bat). Its description in RNAcentral is "Eukaryotic large subunit ribosomal RNA". It matches the Rfam family "Eukaryotic large subunit ribosomal RNA", at positions 1262 to 1863 of the family's 3401-position model. Lineage: Eukaryota; Metazoa; Chordata; Mammalia; Chiroptera; Vespertilionidae. The record is from Rfam by way of RNAcentral.